AACAAAGAAUAAAAAAUGGCUUAGAACCAUUUAACUGCUCUACCUAUCAGCACUUUGUUA
This 60-nucleotide transfer RNA is filed under the name Exechonella vieirai. Its description in RNAcentral is "tRNA-Leu". Lineage: Eukaryota; Metazoa; Bryozoa; Gymnolaemata; Cheilostomatida; Exechonellidae. The record is from RNAcentral.